AUGGCGAGGGAGCUCGGCGGCGCUCUGUGCCGCACCCCGGCGAGGGAUCCCGCAUCCGCGCUCGGGAGCGACGAGAACGCGCGGCCUGGCGGAGCUUCGACUCCCGCCCCGGCGGAGCCCAUCGCGACCUCCCGGCACCCCCUCCGCGCUAUCCAGCCGCCGGGGCAGCCCCGGCGGCCGGCGCCGACGCCCAAGAAGGGUAAGGAGGCUAGGACAGCGGGCAAGACGUCGGCGCGGAUCGGCGCGGUGAGCACUCCCCUUGGCCCGACCAAGAUCCUGGGGAAGCCGAAGCCGGUGCCGAGGCAGGGGUUCUUGACGAUGGGGGCCAGUUCUGCGCAGGUCCAACGUUCCAAGGUCCGAAACCCCAUCUUGCUCCGGGAGGAGAAUCGCAAUGUGCAGAAUGUUUCGUCAACAUUGCAGCAAGAUGACUCUCAUGCACCUGCAAAGGAAGAAGACAACUCAGAAGAUACAUUGAGCCUGCAGCUGGAGUUGGCCAUAACCGAAACAAUUCUUGCGGACGAGAUGAAAGCCCGAGCAGAAGCUGAGGUCAGGGCAACUGCUUUAGGAGAUGAGCUGAAAGCAGCAAAUUUACGUACCCUUGAAGCUUGCAGGCAGAAGGAAGCCACAGAAAAGGAACUGAAAGACACAUUAUCUGUUUUGGAUGUUGUUGAAUCGGAGCAGAUUUGUUUGAUAAAGGAAGUAGAGGAGCUGAAGAAGAAGAAUUUGGAGCAGGUUAGUUUGAUAAAGGAACUAGAGGAGCUGAAGAAAAACAAUUUCCAAAGCCCAGUAUUUCAUAAGAAGAGGGAUGUGGAAACUCUGAUUUUAAACACUGAGCUUGAGCAAGAAAUGGAUGAAAUCCAUAGGCAGGCUAUGUGUGAAACGUCUGAGGUGAUUAUAUCCUUACAAAAACAGCUGUUGUCACUGCAACAGCAGCUAGAUGCCUGUAACAAAAAAGAGUUGUUGGCUGCCAAACGCCUUGUUUUGUUGGAUCAGUCCACCGAAAUUCUUGUGCAGAAGGAGGUUCUUGAACAAUGCUUUGUUUCAUUACUGAGAGGGAUGGAAGAAGAGACUCGUCAGCUCGAGUCCAAACUAGACCAGUCAAAUAGAUUCUAUGAAGGUAGAAUUAAAGAACUGGAGAUAAAGAUGCAAGAAAUGGAUUAUCAGGCUGGAGCAUUACUUAUUUCAUGGAAUAAAGAAAAAGAGAUAUCAGAGGAAAGGAAGGCAUAUGUCGAAGAGAAAAAUAAAGUAAUCAAGCUAUUGGAGAUGUCCAAUGAGGAUGGCCAGAUUACUGUGUGUUCAUUGGAAGAAAAGGUGAAAUUACUCGAGGAAGAAGCACAACAACACAGAAGGCAACAGGAAAAACUAGAAGUGGAGCUGCAGAAUGCCAGGCAACAAUUGCUAGUUGUGCCAUCCUCUGGGGAAGCAAAGAGCUCCUUGGAAGACAGAAUGGUUGAUUCACCUGACCCAACCAGGCACCCGAGUAAUAUAAACAAUGGGGUACUGCGUUCUCAGGAGAGUAGAAUAGGUCAAAAGGAGCCUUUUGAAUCAGAGGUAAUGAUGGCAUUCUUUGAAGAGCAAAUGCAAGGAAGCUAUGCAAGCUCAUUAGGUGAUGUAUUCAAGGAAGUUGCAGAAGAUUCUCUUCCUGUCUCACAUUCUCUUCCACACAUUACAAGCCAAACAAAGCCGAAUCCAAAUGUAGUUGAGGAGGCAGUCGAGCUAGACACUAUAGCUGUUGAGUCAACUCCUCUGGUGGAACACCAAGACGAGCCUGGUGAGCCUUCUUCAGAUGAGUGCAUGCAGGAGUCCGACCCAUCAGGUCUAGAGAUGGCAAAGCCACAUUCAUUAGAAAAGGAUUUCUGGUCCGAGAACUCGGAGUUUGAUUCAGAAGAGCAAGUGCCGCCUCCAGCUGUGGAGUCAGUGAUUGAAGUUCUGAAGGAGAAUGAGUUGCCUCCAGUUUCUCUAGUGCGUCCCAAUGAUCCGGUGGACUACACUCGAGCCCCUUUUGAGCUGAAGAGGCUCAGAAGCAGGAACCACUACAAGGGGCAUAGGACAGCAACAGACAGGAGAUUCUGGUCCAUUGAGCAGCAGGACUUGUACAACUUCAUAUACAGUAGGGCCGGGUUGUUUCCUAUGCAGUGGAUAGACUGGGACUAUAUUGAUAGCAUGGAUGAGUUUUCUUGUGUCAGACAGAGAUGUGCCCAUGUGGGGCUUGAGCAGAUGAUGAGUUACCAUUGUGAUUGGGACAUCGAACUGAUUAGGCAGUUUUACUCUACAGUUUAUAUCAGCGACGACAAUAGCUCUAUUACUUGGAUGGCAGAUGGCAGGAGGGUCACUACCAACAAAAGAGCAUGGGAGGAGACAUUUGGCAUUGCUGGCAGCAUUCACACUUCAAGAAUUCACUCAGAGUUUUUCUUUGAUGAUGAUGACAAGAGGAUCAUGUACACAGCUGCAGAAUGCACAGUAGACCAAACCAGGGGCCUCUCUCCAUUGGCUAGCAUAGCCAAUAAGAUUAUUUGGAAAACCAUCUAUCCCAAGUCUUCUGGAAGUAAAGUCCACGGAUACAACUGGAACCUCCUACAUCAUAUUGUGGAGCAGCACCCAUUUGACAUCAUUGCUUUGAUCUUCGACGAGAUUAAGUUACUUAUUUCAGAUCACAGUCCUUUUCUAAAAAAAAAGAAGAAAGAUCACAGUCGCACUAACCUCUUGUAUGCACCAUACAUCAUGGGGAUGAUCAUGCGAGCUUUUGAAUAUGAUGGACCUAGAGAAACCAGGCACCAGCCCUACAAGCCCAGGCCCGACAAGUCAAAGCAGACGAAAAAAGUUGGUCGUCCACUGGCACCUGCAGUAGUUGCACCUUCUGAGCCACCACCUUCAGCAUGUCAGCCGGAGGUAGAGGCCAAUGUUGAGGCAGAUGACCACAGCCAGUUUGAGGAAGCCGGACACCGGCCCCAGGGAGAGGCAGUGCAGCAUACCAAUGCCUCCUUGUCUUCUCAGAUCCUAGCUCCACGCUCCUCCCUGACACCUUCCCUUGAGGCUACCACUCCCUCACCGCCUCUGGCUCCAGCUGCAUUUCCUGAGCAGGCCAGCAUGAUGCACGCCGGCCUCCGGUGCUUCAGCUCAGCCAGCUGUUUUGGGGCCAAGUCCUUUUAG
This 3150-nucleotide ribosomal RNA is filed under the name Triticum aestivum (bread wheat). RNAcentral's name for it is "partial small subunit ribosomal RNA". The record is from RNAcentral. Lineage: Eukaryota; Viridiplantae; Streptophyta; Magnoliopsida; Poales; Poaceae.